This 1002-nucleotide unclassified non-coding RNA is filed under the name Leishmania donovani. Its description in RNAcentral is "gene:LdHU3.26.2110(CDS-product:cytochrome_c_oxida se_subunit_V_putative)". Lineage: Eukaryota; Euglenozoa; Kinetoplastea; Trypanosomatida; Trypanosomatidae. The record is from RNAcentral.
AUUUCGCCCGAUAGAAUGAAGCGCUUCAGCAUCCCUACUCUGGCCGUGGUGCCGUUUGCCCGUACCUUCUUCGGUAAGGGCUGGGACAAUGCUGCACUGGACACCAUAUACAGCAGCAUGCUGCGCAAGCCGGAAGUGAACGACCGGAUUCGCACUCAAUACGCCUCCACGAUGGACCCUCGCGACGCCGAUGUGCUCCGCCGCCUCGGUGAGGUGUCGAAGGAAAACAAGACAUUUAUUCGCGUUUUUCUCCCACCGCAUCUCGGUGAUCCCCAUCGCCUACUGAAGUGCUACAGCCUGAUGGCGUACCCUAUUCUCGAUGACAAGGGUGGUCAGCUGAAGGUAGAGAUGGAUGGCUGCAAGCUGGACGCAUUCGCCGACCCUGAUGACGACUACUCCAAGGUGGUGAUUCCACACAUGGAGCUAGUCGAGUAUCUCGCCAAGUCUCUUUUAGAGACGAUGAAGUGGGAGGCUACUCCCCGCGGCGCUGCCUCGCUGCUGGAGUCGCUGUACCGCGGCGCCGAGAUUCCGGACCACGUGUUCCAGACGCCCGCUGUCAUCGAGCGUCUGGAAAGCUACAAGGACGGUAACAAGGUCAUCAACUAAGCCACGAAAACAAGCUGUGUUUGCAGUCUGUGUCAAGGAAAGACAAAAAAAAAGAAAUGCAAGAGCUUUUUUUUUUCCGUUUGCUUCCGCACUUUCAUUAUCAAAUUAUCACGGGAAGCGGCACCCUCUGUCACUCCCCAUACAAAAUAUCAUAGGAAUGUAGGACUACUUUGUAUUGGUUGUCAUGUCGGUAACAUUUUUUUGUUUCGUUCUAUUUUCCCGCAAAUGAGGUUGAGUUCACGAAAGUGAGGCGGCCCAGAGAGAUACGAUAGUCGAAAAGGGUUCCCUUGGUGCUCAUGCUAACGUUCUUCUGAGGUUAUCCGCUCUUCCAGCCCCUUUCCACAUCCAUCCGAUUUUCAGCUUAGCCGUACCCUCAAAAAAAAGCGAAAGAAAAAC